CGCUCGGAGAUAUUCAAAUCAGCAGCGCGGCAGUUGUUUCCGACACCAACUCCAGGCCACAGAGGUUCCUGCUACCGCGCACUUUCCGCAGCCUCUCAGCCCGGCAAUGAUAGCAUGGAGCGUCAGGGUGCUCCUCUUGGACCUUACCGGGCCACCAAGCUGUGGAAUGAAGUAACCACAUCUUUUCGAGUAGGAAUGCCUUUAAGAAAACAUAGACAACAUUUAAAAAAAUAUAGCAAUUGUUUCACUGCAGUUGAAGCUAUAGAUUGGCUUUAUGAUCUGUUAAGAAGUAAUAGUAAUUUUGGUCCUGAAGUUACAAGACAACAGACUAUUCAACUAUUGAGAAAAUUUCUUAAGAAUCAUGUGAUUGAAGAUAUCAAAGGUAGAUGGGGAUCGGAAAGCCUUGAUGACAACAAUCAACUAUUCAGAUUUCCUGCAACUUCUCCACUUAAAACUUUUCCACAAAGACAUACAGAAAUCAAGAAAACCAACACAGAGUACUUUUCCAAAGACAAAGAUGGUAUUUUUAAAUUACGAAACUUAUCUCAAAAAACUUCUAAGAAGCGUGGAUUACAUUUCUCUCAGGAAAAUACAGAAAAGAUAAAUCAUGAAAGAAUAACCAAUGAAGAUCUAGAAAUUGCACCUGACAACCAAGAAAUAAGCCAGGAAGAUGUUGAAGAAGUUUGGAGAUACGUUAUUAUGAUAUACCUGCAAACCAUUUUAAGUUUGCCAUCCAUAGAAGAACUCUUAAACCCAAACCAAGUAAUUCCUCAAUAUAUAAUGUACAACAUGGCCAACACAAGUAAGCAUGGAGUGGUCAUACUACAAGACAAAUCAGACGAUCUUCCACAUUGGGUUUUAUCUGCAAUGAAGUGCCUAGCAAAUUGGCCAAGAAGUAAUGACACCAAUAAUCUAACUUAUGUUGGAUUUGAACGUGAUGUAUUCAAAACAAUUGCAGAUUAUUUUCUAAAUCUCCCUGAACCUCUACUUACAUUUGAAUAUUAUGAAUUAUUUGUGAACAUUUUGGUUGUUUGUGGCUACAUCACAGUUUCAGAUAGAACAAGUGGAAUACAUAAAAUACAAGAUGAUCCACGAUCUUCAAAAAUCCAUGAUUUAAGCAAUUUGAAUUCCUUCAAAUCAACUGAGUGUCUUCUUCUCAGUCUGCUUUACAAAGACAAAAGCAAUGAAGAGUUGGAUUCUACUAAAAGACUACAAAGAAAUGAUCAAGGAUUUCAAGAAAGAUGUGCCAAGAAAAUGCAGCUAGAUAAUUUAAGAAACAGAAGAGCUAGUGCUAAUGACAUAAUGGGAGGAAGCUGUCAUAAUUUAAUAGGCUUAAGUAAUACAAAUGCCCUGUCCUCUAACAUCAAACCAAGGUGCUCUUCUUUGGAAGGAAUUGUAGAUAGGCCAGUGAAUUCAAGUGAAAAGAAGUCCAGUAUCUUCUACCAGUCUGUUCUGAACAUAGAAGAACAAAAUAGUAAGCAAUCGUUAGUGUCUGCACCCAAACAGACACCCCUAUUUAAUCUUCACUCAGAUGAAAAUGCUCAGCAGCCACACUGUGUUGGUUUUAACAGAACCUCUGCUUUGACUGUUCAAGACCAAGAAGAGUUAUGUAAUGAAAAGUAUAAGUCAAAACAGCUUUGUAGAUCUCAGAGUUUACUUUUAAGAAGUAGUACAAGACAGAAUAGUUGUAUCAAUAAACCAGUGGCUGAAAUUAUAAUGAAACCAAAUGUUGGACAAGGGAGUACAAGUGAGCUCGGAGAGUCUAGUACCACAAUCAAUAAAAGACUGUGCAAAAGCACCAUAGAACUUUCAGAGAAAUCUUUACCUCCAGCUGCUUCUGUGUUGACUGGCACACAAAGUUUGCUGCAACCUCACUUAGAGAGGGUUGCCAUCAAUGCUCUACAGUUAUGUUGUUUGUUACUUCCCCCACCAAAUCGUAGAAAGCUUCAACUCUUAAUGCGCAUGAUUUCUAGAAUGAGUCAAAAUGUUGAUAUGCCCAAACUUCAUGAACAAAUAGGUACAAGAUCAUUGAUAUGGACUAGAUGACUAUGAGAGUAAUGAGUUUUGAGGCAAAAAUUUUUCCAGAGUUUCAAACUUCUUAUGAUGGAAAUAGAGAUGUGUGCAUUAACUCACUGCCUAAACACUAAUUAUCCACUUUCCAGAGUUUCAAAAGAUGAUAAAUACUUUUUCUCGAUGUGUACUAUGUUGUGCUGAAGAAGUGGAUCUUGAUGAGCUUCUGGCUUCAAGAUUAGUUUCUUUCCUAAUGGAUCAUCAUCAGGAAAUUCUUCAAGUACCCACUUAUUUACAAGCUGCAGUGGAGAAACAUCUUGACUACAUUAAAAAGGGCAAUGUUAAAAAUCAUGGAGAUGGACUAGUUGUUCCUUUGCCAACAUAUUCUUACUGUAAACAGAUUAGUGCUAAAGAAUUUGAUGAACAGAAAAUUUCAACUUCCCAAGCUGCAAUUGCAGAACUUUUGGAGAAUAUUGUCAGAAGUAAAAGCUUGUCUCUAAAGGAGAAAAGAAGAAAAUUGAAACAGUUUCAGAAGGAAUACCCCUUGAUAUAUCAGAAAAGAUUUCCAACCACUGAGAGUGAAGCAGCACUUUUUGAUGAUAAACCUACAAUCAAGCAACCGAUGCUGAAUUUAAGAAACCCCAAGCUUCACAGUCUGCGUUACUGACUUAAAACUUCAACAAAUGAAGCCGUACAUGAGACUAUUUCUACUUAAAAGAACACUGUUGAUAUUAUAGGUUCCCUUCAAAGGACAUUAUACAAGGAGGUGACAAAACAGUCUUUAUCUGUGCGAGGCUGCUAAAGCUACUGGAUCUGCCCUAAGUGCCUAACGAAAGGUGAUACCAAAUAUUUUAAUCAGAAACUAUUUUUUAAUAUAAUGAUCUGGUAAGACUAUCAGAAUUGUACCAUCCAGAUAAAAUUGUGGUGCUUUUAAAGAAGAAAACACGUCUGUGUCUAUAUGUAUAUUAGCUAAAGAACUGGUUGUUUAAGAUUGCUUCUUUAUUUAUAAGUAUCAGAUCAUGAAAAAUAUUGUACACUUUUAUAUAAUCUUUUUACACUUAUGGUCUAUUUAACUUUAUAUAAACACACUUGUAGUUUAGCUUUUUUAAUUGGACUUUGGUUUAUUGGGGGGCAAAAGGAGGUAGUUUUUGAGAUAAAGUCUCUCUAUGUAACCUAUUCUAACCUCAAACUCAUAUUCCUCCUGCCUUAUUCUCUUGAGUAGUUGGAAUAUAUAUGUAUGUGCCACCAUUCCUGGCUUAUAUGUGUGUUUUAAAGAUAUGUUUCUGUGAGAUUUUUGUUUUCCCCUAAACAUUUUCUUAAUUAUUUCAGUCUUUUUUCCAGAAAUAUAUUUUGAAUCCUUACAUUCAUUAUCUAUCCUAAUACUGAAAUAGAUAUAUAAUUGUUAUUUAACAACAGAAAUUUGUCUUUCAUUGUUUCUUAAAUGUAAAGACCAUGAUGAAUAAAGCAAAAAUUCCUGUCUUAAGACAUUUAUUUUUUUCAAUCAAGGAAACUAAAUUUUUCAGGCCUGUAAAAUAAUGAUAUACUUGCUGACAUCAAGAUAUAGCGAUUCCUUCAGCUGAA
This is an RNA transcript of Mus musculus (house mouse), 3591 nucleotides long. It is a transcript of the gene named DEP domain containing 1a, with no coding region annotated. The transcript is spliced from 13 exons. Lineage: Eukaryota; Metazoa; Chordata; Mammalia; Rodentia; Muridae. The record is from RefSeq and is marked validated.